UAAGGAAUAUUGCGCAAUGGGCGAAAGCCUGACGCAGCGACGCCGCGUGGGGGAUGAAGGUCUUCGGAUUGUAAACCCCUUUCGGGAGGGAAGAUGGAAUGGGGUAACCCAUUCGGACGGUACCUCCAGAAGCAGCCACGGCUAACUUCGUGCCAGCAGCCGCGGUAAUACGAAGGUGGCAAGCGUUAUUCGGAUUUACUGGGCGUACAGGGAGCGUAGGCGGUUCGGUAAGCCCUUUGUGAAAUCUCCAGGCUUAACCUGGAAAAGUCGGAGGGGACUGCCGGGCUAGAGGACGGGAGAGGAGCGCGGAAUUCCCGGUGUAGCGGUGAAAUGCGUAGAGAUCGGGAGGAAGGCCGGUGGCGAAGGCGGCGCUCUGGAACGUUUCUGACGCUGAGGCUCGAAAGCGUGGGGAGCAAACAGGAUUAGAUACCCAUGUAGUCCCUGAGCGGGCUGGCAAGGCGCAU
Molecule: ribosomal RNA, 464 nt
Filed under: uncultured bacterium
Lineage: Bacteria
Description: bacterial SSU rRNA
Rfam family: Bacterial small subunit ribosomal RNA
Source: RNAcentral